This is a long non-coding RNA of Gossypium raimondii (Peruvian cotton), 732 nucleotides long. RefSeq lists it as uncharacterized. The record is from RefSeq and is a predicted model, not a curated record. NCBI's taxonomy places the organism in Eukaryota, Viridiplantae, Streptophyta, Magnoliopsida, Malvales, Malvaceae. The transcript has 2 exons.
ACAAAAAUUGCAAAACCCUUUCUAAAUUCACUCACUCUCUCUCAAAGCCCCCCAGAAUUCGGCCUAGCUCCGGUCGUCGGCCGCCGUGUCAACUGCCAGUCAUCGGCGUCGGCUCCACCGUAGACGGCGGUCGGGAAACCGAAUACGCUCUGAUGACAGCGAUAAAGGUAUUGGCGAAGUCAACGGAGGCGAAGAUUCUAGCUUUUUGCAGUUUUGGUGCAAGGUAGCAGAUGGGGUCAGGUAGGCCUCGGGACAAGGUGCAGGCGGUGCGCUCGAGGAGGAGCGGCGCACAUGGGAGCAGCAGGGGCUGCAACACAUUAGGGUUUCUGCCCUUUUUUCUUUAUGAAAAUGUUAAGUGUUUUGGGCUGUUGGGCCUUAGGGUUUUUUAUUUUUAUUUUUGGGCUUGUAAUUUAUUUUUUUGGACUGUUUAGUUAUUUUGGAAAUUGGGUAGUUUUUUGGUUUAGGCCCAGGCAAAAAUGACCUAUUACAGUUACGCCAAGAUUUUAACAUAACAUCUCAGAACUUAGGGUGCGUCAACCAACUAGAAAGAAAACGAAAGGAUUGGACUCUUUCCACUGACCUCUCUGGAUGCGUCGAGAUCAACAGUGGCUGAUGGUUAGACUUCAACUUGUGUAGGUGUCGCAUAGUUGUGUUAGAUGCAAAUUCCUACCGAUACUCAUUGCAAAUAGAUCGACCCAAUCUUUCAAAUAAAUUUCUCUUAUUCCAUGUGAA